GGAUGAUUAGCUCAGCUGGUUAGAGCGCUGCAUUCACAUUGCAGAGGUCACUGGUUCGAUCCCAGUAUCAUCCACCA
RNAcentral lists this transfer RNA (77 nucleotides) under bacterium. RNAcentral describes it as "tRNA-Val". It matches the Rfam family "tRNA". Rfam says of the family: Transfer RNA (tRNA) molecules are approximately 80 nucleotides in length. Their secondary structure includes four short double-helical elements and three loops (D, anti-codon, and T loops). The record is from RNAcentral.